Molecule: long non-coding RNA, 2218 nt
Organism: Amphiprion ocellaris (clown anemonefish)
Lineage: Eukaryota; Metazoa; Chordata; Actinopteri; Pomacentridae
Exons: 2
Source: RefSeq, a predicted model, not a curated record
CUGUUCACAAUCACACCUCCUCCUAUAUAAGCACAGUUCAGUCACUCACUCCCCCCUGGACCAUUGACUGUCACAUCCCUGCUUUCCUCCAGUCUCGGAUCCCCUCAUGGACUCAGUUUUUCUGCUGAUCCUAGCUUUACUCCAGUCUUUCAUAACCCCACCUGGACUCUAGUCUUCCCUCAUCCUGGAUACCUACCAGUCCCCUCCCUGUCCUCAAUCUGCUGCCUAUCUGUCUUGUUUCCCCAUCAGCUCCUGGAUUCCUCAUGUCUGCCUACCUUGCCCCUUUAAUUUUGUUCCCUGCUGAGCAUUAAACCCACGAGGAGGCCAGUGAACCCAGUAACACCACUAGAUGGCAACCUGCAUCCAGGAGAAGGCCAAGAAACUCUGCUCCAAGAAACAUCCUGCUUGUGUGCUGGGAUCAUGGACUGAACAGUACAUUUCAGGUUAUGCAAUAUUAAGAUAAUCCAAAUUUGAAGCUUAUAGUUACUGAGUGUAAAGUGACUACAAAGAUUCUUGAAGACUUUUAGGUGAUACAGUUGCAUGAAAAACAGUCCACAUACAUUUAGUGUACAGCUUAACUUCUUUGUGGGAUGGAAGAAAUGCACACUGUAGAAGCCAUAAGAAGUUGUGAAAUUAAAGACACUUUAUGGGGGGAUUUUUUUUUUAAAUGACAUUUUCAGACUGCAGUGAUGAGAGAGUGAAGAAAAAAAUACCCACACAUUUUUACUAAGAUUGUUUGAAAGUCACCACAGUAACUCAGAUAUUCCACACAGAACGGCAUUAAGAAUUUAACUUACUAAUGGUUGUGCUGUGUGGUUAUAUGUAAAUGAAAAUAUUUUCACCAGCAAGCAUUUGAUUCUGGAUCUCAGAGAAACAGGUACUAAAUUGCAAGAUCCUGAACUCACUUUGUUCAACACGAAUGUGGAACACUUAUAUUCAGUAUUUUUUUUUUUUUUUUAAAGAUUAAAUACGUGCAUUGUCUGCACCAGGCAGAGUUUGUUGUAUGCAGUAAGUAUGUUCUUCCAACAUCUUGCAAUUUCCAGUUUGCCUGGGUUUCCUUUGGAUGUUCCACUUUUCUCUCAGUCUGUGUAGUAAAGUGAGAUCAGUCACACAGUGUGUUUCUGCCUUCUGCUGCAGUGACUGCUGGGUGACCUCAUGUUUUUUUUUUUUUCAUUUUAGCAAAGUUUGACAUUGACAUUACAUUGACAUUAGUCUGGUAAAAAUACAGUCUAUGGGUAAAACUACAGUAAAUCUUGAGGUACAAUAUACAACAACAGCAAAUACAACUAUGUGCAAUAUUAUUUGCAAUGUCAAAUUAUUAAAAACUGCAUCAUUUCUAUAUUGACAAGCAGAGAAUUCACUCUUGGGAACAAUCAAAAACAAAGACUUCAGACUACAAAGAGUAUAUUGAAAAUACAGGCCCCAGAGCAGAAACUCACUGCAAUAAAAGUGAAUACACCUGUGAUCACCGAAAUAAAACUGGGUACCGCCUGUCAUUUUCAAUCAGCCAAACUGCAUGAACAAAAUUGGAAAAUGUGCUGGAAAAAGUACGACUUUCUCAGUUUUGGACCUAUGGACUGUGUUAAUCUGCAUCAUCAUGGCUCCAUGUGGAAAAAAAAAAAUUGCUUGAGGAACUGAAAAACCUGUACUACUGGAAGAUCAGUGACUAACUAGGAAUCAGCAUAAGCACAGUAGCAGCAGUAAUCAGAAGGUAUAGAAUCAGUCAUAGUAUUACUAAUCAGAGGUGCAGUAGCCAUCCUCCUAACAUGAUGGCACAGACAGUGCACUACUUGCACAACAUAUCUCUGAAAAACAGUGCUUUAGAUAUAACAGAUGGGUUAUCAGUAGAAAAAGCCUGAUGAAUAUCUGGAGCACAUUGUUUGGUCAGAUAAGACCAAGAUAGAUUUUUUUGACUCAGAUGUUUGGUAUGAACCUGGUCAGGACUACCACAGUAAUGCAUAGUCCUGACAGUGAAGCACAGAGGAGGGAGUGUGAGGAUGUGAGGCUGCAUGAGAGUAAAACGUGUUGGAGAAGACAUUUAUAGCCUCACACUUUUAUUCAUGUACUAACAUAAUUGCACAAGGGUUUUCUAAUCAUCAAUGAGCCUUUCAACACCAUUAGCUAACACAAUGUAGCAUUAGAACACAGGAGUGAUGGUUGCUGGAAAUGUUCCUCUGUACCUCUAUGGAGAUAUUCCAUUAAAGAUAAGCUGCUUCCA